GCCUUCGGGGUGUAGUGGUCUGCACACUGGGCCGGAAUUCCAGAGGUCCCUGGUUCGAUUCCCGGCGAAGGCG
This 73-nucleotide transfer RNA is filed under the name Stegodyphus dumicola. RNAcentral describes it as "tRNA-Ser". It matches the Rfam family "tRNA". Rfam says of the family: Transfer RNA (tRNA) molecules are approximately 80 nucleotides in length. Their secondary structure includes four short double-helical elements and three loops (D, anti-codon, and T loops). The record is from RNAcentral. Lineage: Eukaryota; Metazoa; Arthropoda; Arachnida; Araneae; Eresidae.